This 2255-nucleotide long non-coding RNA is filed under the name Triticum aestivum (bread wheat). RNAcentral's name for it is "long non-coding RNA (TAES_LNC012268)". Lineage: Eukaryota; Viridiplantae; Streptophyta; Magnoliopsida; Poales; Poaceae. The record is from RNAcentral.
GCACUGUUAGUUGAUUUCAAUUUUAGAUGCACGCCGUCUAGGGAGCAAACGUGUGCUCCCUAAAAUUCCCUAGCACACACCCGUUUUAGGAAAGUUUUUGUCCCCUCUCACGAAAAAGGUAAGCCCACGUGACUAGCCCUCCGUACGGUGCCCAACAACACCGAUCCCACCUUAUCCUUGUCCCUUUCCCUCCCCCACAAAAACAAAAGCCCCUCACACCCCCACGCUGCCUGCUAGAGCCUAUCUUGUUUCUUCUUCAUCUUCUUCCUUCCAGAUCUAGUUCCAUAGCUCCAACGCCAUUGCCAUUGGCGCACAAAAGAAAAGAGCUGCAAAAAAACAUAAACUCUCAUCAAACUCUUACUUACAGGUACCCUGCGCACUACUAGUAAAGAGCAAUUGUGUACAAGUUUCAGACAAAAAAUUGUGGCCCUAUUUUCUGUAUUCUGUGGAACAUCAAACAUCAAGUUAUGAUGCCCGGGGCAAAUGCAUUUGUGGUUGCGGGCAAGUUGUUCUCUGAUCUAAGCAAUUUGCAUAACUCCAUGUUUUUUCUUUUUUAAAAUAGAGAUUGAAAAAGGUAGCAACUUGUACCAGGUUUGUAGGCAAUUUCCAUAUAUUGUACAACCAACUCAUUGUCUUGCUUGCCGAAGAAAAAGAAAGUGGAAGAUAGGAGCAACUGCUACUUGGUUUGUAGGCAAUUCGCCUACAAGUUUCAGGCAAAAAAUGUGAGCAUAUAUUGUGUGGGCAUCUCGAUGAAGAAACAACCUGCAUGGUUUGUGAGUUUAUAAAACACCCUAGCCCUAGGAGGGCAGUUAACUGGCUUGUAACCCAAGGAAAAAAGAUCGAGAAGGGGUUGGGGCAGGGGGGCAUACCAAAUCCCAUCUAAAUCUAGGCAAAAAACAAAGGGGGGCAGAAAAAUAAAAAGCUCCCAGGGACUGUGUGAAGUUUACCUUGUGGUGGCUGUUGAAACUUUUCUUGCUUGAGAUCGAAUACAUUGAUUCAAAAACCAUAAAGUCCUGCCAAGAAAUGUAGAACAAAAAUUGCAUACAAGUUUCAGCCUGAAACUCCAAAUUUUGGCUGGAAUAAACCAAUUAGUUGGGAGGCUCUUUGGGAACUGAGAUAUGUUUACCUGAGAAAAUUGUCUGUAUGAAAGCAAAUUGGGCACCCAUGUUUUACCAGUGCCGGAUCUCAGGACCGUUUUCCAACCACCAACAUGAACGAAAUCGAAUUUCAUUGCGUGAAAUUAGGAUUUCAUGAGGGAGGAAAAGGGGGUGGAGACUUGUACAAUGCAUUGGUGGGAUGAAGGUGCUAGCUUGGCUGAGAUAGGAAGUUUCGAUGUGUAUGUAGAUUGAAUAGGGGGACUAUUUUCCCAUAAACCUGUUGGAUUUGAAGAUCAAAAAACAAGAACUAGUGUUAUGAGGGUUAGUGCAGACAAAACACAAAAAGUUGCUUGGCUCUUUAUAGCUAUGUGAUAUUCCUACAUGAAAAAAAGUCUAAUGGAUCUUGCUUGGGGAUGGCAUCCUUUGUAAAAGUUAGUCAACAAAAAAAAUCAACUACUAUGGAUUUUUUGGGCUAAAAUCAGUGCAGUCGGUGGGAAAAAAGAACACAACUAUGUUGCAUCCGCCCACGUGUAUAGAAAAAAAAGUAGGUAAUACGGUAAAGAAAUCAAAAUGCAAGUCAUGUUCAGGAAAUGUAAGCAAGAUCCUAAUUAACAUGUUCAGGGAAAAGGCAGGCAACUCCCUACUUGUUGUAGGCCACUCUAAUUUUGAUUGUAGGCAAGUCUAUAACCAAAAUACUGUAGACUUGAGCUAUUAGUCAUUUAUAGGAUCAAGAAGAUGUAGACUUGAUAUAUUAGAUUUUUUGAUUGUAGGCAACAUAGUUAGUAGUAAUAUCAUUUUACAAUUUAUUGAUCUCGGCAUUGACGAGUUUAAUGUGUAUACAACCAUUAUUAAAGCAAAAAAAACUGAACCAUGUCAGGCAACUAUGUAACAAAAACAUUAGAGAAAACUUUAGGAUUGUUCAUUAUCCAAGUUAUUUCGAGGCAAAAACCUACAAUUUGUCAGGCAAGUUUUGGCAAAGUAAAAACCAUUAACCAAAAUCUAAACUAUGUCAGGCAAUUAAGUAAACAAAAAAAUUACACAAAAGUUUAGGAUUGUUCAUUAUCUGAAGUAUUUCACCCCAGACACAAAAGAGCUCAAAUCUUACAUAGCAAGCGUUAGGCAAGUUUGGUGAAGGGGAAAACACUCAAAGGACAAAAG